UGGGGAAUUUUGCACAAUGGGGGAAACCCUGAUGCAGCGACGCCGCGUGAUUUAGAAGGCCCUCGGGUUGUAAAACUCUUUUUUACGGGAUGAAAAUGACAGUACCGUUAGAAUAAGUUCUGGCUAAAUUCGUGCCAGCAUCCGCGGUAAUACGUAGGGACCGACCGUUGUCCGGAAUCAUUGGGCGUAAAGGGUACGUAGGCGGCAUAGUAAGUUAGAAGUGAAAUAAUAUAGCUCAAAUAUGUAAAGCUUUUAAAAAUGCUAGGCUUGAGAGAUGGAAGGGAAAGUGGAAUUACUGGUGUAGCGGUGAAAUGCGCAGAAAUUAGGAAGAAUACCGGUGGCGAAGGAGGCUUUCUGGUGAUCUUCUGACGCUGAGGUACGAAAGCGUGGGUAGCAAACAGG
This 402-nucleotide ribosomal RNA is filed under the name bacterium. Its description in RNAcentral is "partial 16S ribosomal RNA". It matches the Rfam family "Bacterial small subunit ribosomal RNA", at positions 355 to 776 of the family's 1533-position model. The record is from RNAcentral.